UACGGAGGAUCCGAGCGUUAUCCGGAUUUAUUGGGUUUAAAGGGUGCGCAGGCGGGGGAUUAAGUCGGCGGUGAAAUUUUGCAGCUCAACUGUAAAAGUGCCUUCGAAACUGGUUUCCUUGAGUGUAGAUGAAGUAGGCGGAAUUUGUGGUGUAGCGGUGAAAUGCAUAGAUAUCACGAGGAACUCCGAUUGCGCAGGCAGCUUACUAAACUACUACUGACGCUCAGGCACGAAGGCGUGGGGAUCAAACAGGAUUAGAUAUCCCCGUAGUCCCU
Molecule: ribosomal RNA, 275 nt
Filed under: uncultured prokaryote
Description: partial 16S ribosomal RNA
Rfam family: Bacterial small subunit ribosomal RNA
Source: RNAcentral